Molecule: ribosomal RNA, 519 nt
Filed under: uncultured eukaryote
Lineage: Eukaryota
Description: SSU rRNA
Rfam family: Eukaryotic small subunit ribosomal RNA
Source: RNAcentral
AGGGCACCACCAGGAGUGGAGCCUGCGGCUUAAUUUGACUCAACACGGGAAAACCCACCCGGCCCGGACACUGGAAGGAUUGACAGAUUGAGAGCUCUUUCUUGAUUCAGUGGGUGGUGGUGCAUGGCCGUUCUUAGUUGGUGGAGCGAUUUGUCUGGUUAAUUCCGAUAACGAACGAGACUCUAGCCUACUAAAUAGAUCGUCGGCUUACAAACGCCGAUGAGACUUCUUAGAGGGACAGGCGGCGAUUCAGCCGCACGAAACAGAGCAAUAACAGGUCUGUGAUGCCCUUAGAUGUCCGGGGCCGCACGCGCGCUACACUGAAGUGAUCAGCGUGCAUUUUCAGCCUACUCUGCCAAGAGUGGGAAACCCAAUGAACCUUCUUCGUGAUUGGGAUAGGGGAUUGUAGUUAUUCCCCUUGAACGAGGAAUUCCCAGUAAGCGCGAGUCAUAAGCUCGCGUUGAUUACGUCCCUGCCCUUUGUACACACCGCCCGUCGCUACUACCGAUUGAAUGUUUU